UUGCGUUAGGGAUAAAAGCGGCAUCUUUUUACUGUGAUUCAGUGCAAAAUGAGCGCACGGAAAAGGGAACAGUAAAAAAUAGAGCGGAUAGCCCGCCCGAAC
RNAcentral lists this small RNA (102 nucleotides) under Kriegella aquimaris. RNAcentral describes it as "Flavo-1 RNA". The record is from RNAcentral. Lineage: Bacteria; Pseudomonadati; Bacteroidota; Flavobacteriia; Flavobacteriales; Flavobacteriaceae.